This 5031-nucleotide long non-coding RNA is filed under the name Nicotiana tabacum (common tobacco). Its description in RNAcentral is "long non-coding RNA (NTAB_LNC002350)". The record is from RNAcentral. Lineage: Eukaryota; Viridiplantae; Streptophyta; Magnoliopsida; Solanales; Solanaceae.
CUCUUCAGGCCCGCCCGACUCUUGAGCUGCCUAAAAAAGGUGCCCCGGAAACAACUGAUCAGCAGGUAUGCCUAAUGAUACCCAAAAGUUUUUGAUUUUUCGAAAUUGUCCUAAUCAUCUCGGUUUCUGUUCGGUAUUAGUAAGAUUCAAUGAGUUUUCCAUUUUCUAUUUUAAAAAAGAGUCGCACUGAUAUUGGACUCUGUCUUCACGGAUUUUUGGCCACAGCAGAUAUAAAUGAGAUAGUGUAAUUAAUUUCACUAAUAGUUACUGCACUAUAUUCAUGAUUUUUCUAUUUCUUUAAGUCUUUAAAUGGCAAAGUUUCAAAAAGGUUAAACCUAACAAAUCAAAUUAUGCAAUAAAAUAGAUCAGAUACAGACAUACUAACAAAUCAAUGCUGCUAGUAUUUGAAAAUUAUCAUAUGCAUAAAGAUAUAGCAGUAGCAUUGAUCUGUAUGAUAUCCAAUAAGAGAAGAUAUAAAUUACACGAGAGUGGCAUGUUUCUCAAGAUCACUGGUCGCUGCAACAUUUAGUUUCAAUAGGACUAUAGAAGUAUAGCACAAUCGGUUUGCGAUGGGGACUUUGGGUGUUAAUUACCUAUAAGCUUGUUGUUGUUCCAUCACCUAAAUGAUAAAUGGACCUUGAGCCUAACUUAAUGCCAAAAACUAGCUCAUGAGGUGAGAAUUGCCAAAAACCAUAUCAAGAGACCUUCCCAUCCCUUAAUGGCCGAUGUGGGACUGAAUACCCCAUCCCCCUGCACGCCCAGGACGGGACAUUUGGAGCAUGAACAAUAUAAGAUUUGGGGGGGAGGGGACAACAUCGGUAAAUGAAUUGGGAUGGCCCUGACUCUGAUACUAUAAAUAAGACUUUAGGCUUAACUCAACACAGAAAUUCGAUACGACUAUAGAUUUAUAUUGAAAUUUACGAUUUUAAUUAUUAGAAUAACCUAAAAAUCAGUUCGGUUCGAUUCAGUUCGAUUUGACCGAUUUAGUCGGUUUUCAAAUAACUGUUGAUACCCCUAGCGUCAUCUAUUCAGAUUGUUGACCAAUGCAUCACAAACAAACAAGUGCUUCUGUGAUAUGUAGUAGUGAUGAUGUAAAAACAUAAACAUUAGCAAAAUUAUGACAAUAAAAGGUAAACUCGAUGUAACAAGUAUUGAUUGAUAACACAGAAUAAUUAAAUUGUACUAAAUAAUAUGUUAUAAUAGAUCAAAUUAUAUGAUAGUACAAAGAAUUUCUAUACCAUAUAUAAGCGCGUAUAUACGUUAAAUAUCACGAGAUUGAAAUUGUAAUACAUGCCCCUUCCUUGUGAAGAUUAUAUAUCUACUCUAUUUUCUGAUGUGAUCCCUUUUAUUAUCUUGAAAAAGGGUCCUGCAUUGGAGGAUGAUGAAGUUGUCGGCUUUGAUGAGGAAGCGGACAAAGUAAUCAAGCGACUUGUUAAAGAAUCAAAGGAUCUAGAUAUUAUUCCAGUGGUGGGUAUGCCGGGACUUGGAAAAACCACACUAGCAAGAAAAAUCUACAAUGAUCCUCAGCUUUCAUAUGAAUUUUUCGGCGUCCAUUGGGUUUACGUCGGCCAAUCUUACAAAAUAAAGGAUGUUUUUCUUAAUAUUCUCAAAUUCUUCACAAGACGCACCGAAGAUUAUCAGCAUGAGGAUGUGGACGCAUUAGCUAAGGUGAUAGCCGGUUUUAUCAAGAAAGGAGGUAGAUGUCUCAUUUGCUUAGAUGAUGUUUGGGAAACAAAAGUCAUUGAUUAUGUAAAGAAAGUUUUCCCAGAAAACGAAAAGGGGCAUCGAGUCAUGAUGACGACGCGUGACAAAGUUUUGGCUACUUAUGCCAAUCCAGAGCCUCACGAUCUGAAAUUUUUGACUCCAAAAGAAAGUUUUGAAUUGUUGGUAAAGAGAGUUUUUGGCAAGAAAAGUUGUCCUAAUGAUUUAGUAGGACAUGGAGAAAGCAUUGCAGGAAAAUGUGGUGGAGUACCACUUGCAGUAGUGGUUAUUGCAGGAGCAUUAAGAGGUCGUCCGAACACAAGUGAUUGGAUAAGAGUUGAGAGAAAUGUGGUUCAGCAUCUUUAUAUGAAUAGCGAAGAAAGCUGCUUGAAAUUUGUGGAGAUGAGUUACGAUCAUUUGCCCCAAGAAGUACAGACAUGCUUCUUGUAUUGUGGUGUCUUUCCUCGAGGAUUUGAUAUCCCUUCUUGGAAAGUGAUUCGCUUGUGGAUAGCGGAGGGGUUGAUAAAGCCGCAGGAAUCGUAUACUCUGGAGGAGAUAGCAGAGUUUUAUUUGAACGAUCUUAUCAAUAGAAAUUUAGUGAUAUUGCAACAAAAGAGGUCUGAUGGUCAAAUAAAAACUUGUCGUCUUCACGACAUGUUGCAUCAGUUCUGCAAAAAGGAGGCUAGUAACAAAUGGCUUUUUCAAGAAGUCUGUCUAACUCCUGAUCAAACUAUUCCUAUGGAAGACCCAAAUAAAUCUCGUCGAUUGUGCAUUCAACCCUCUAAUCUGAAAGACUUUCUCUCCAAAAAACCUUCUGCAGAACAUGUUAGAUCUUUCUAUUGUUUUUCCUCAAAAGAAAAACAAAUCAGCGGGUUGACUCCUAAUGACAUUAAACUCAUCCACAAAGCAUUUCCGCUUGUCAGGGUUUUGGACGUUGAAUCCCUCAAGUUUCUCUUCUCUAAGGAUUUUAACCAGUUAUUUCAUUUGAGAUAUAUUGCUAUCUCAGGUGACUUCAAUGCCAUUCCUUUGACCUUUGGUAAAUUUUGGAAUUUACAAACUCUUAUUCUUAAUACGAGUACCUCAGAGUCCACCCUUGAUGUAAAAGCAGACAUAUGGAACAUGUUACAGUUGAGGCAUCUUCACACCAACAUACCUGCAAAAUUGCAACCCCCUACUGCGACGACAUCAGGUAAAGCUUCUUGUCUACAAACUCUUUGUAUGGUUGCACCAGAAAGUUGUGAGAAAGAAGUGCUCGCAAAGGCUUGUCAUCUGAAAAAAUUGAGCAUUCGAGGACAAAUGGCAGCUUUUCUUGGUGCUUACAAGGGUGGAAUCAACAAUCUUGAAGAGCUAAAGUGCUUGGAACAAUUGAAAUUGUUGAAUGAUGUUCUUUACAUGAAUAAAGCGCCCCACCUCCCUCCAACAUUCUCCCAACUUGUACGUACUGUGAAGAAGUUAACUUUGACAAAUACAAGGUUUGCUUGGAGUGAGGCAGAUAAAUUGGGGCAAUUGGAAUCCCUUGAGAUCCUAAAGUUUAAAGAAAACGCAUUCGCCGGUGAUUCCUGGAAGCCAAAGAUGGGAUUUAGUGCACUCCGGGUUUUGUGGAUUGAAAGGGCAGAAUUUGAAACUUGGGAGGCUUCGGAGCAUAACUUCCCCGUUCUUAGGAACCUUGUUCUUAUGUCUUGUGAUAAGCUCGACGCUGUGCCAUUUGAGCUGGCUAAUAUAUCUAACCUUCACGAGAUGCGGUUGGAAAACACAAGCAAAGCGGUCAAAUCUGCAACAGAUAUACUGGAAAGCAAGACAUCUAAAAGCAUCAAAUUCAUCCUUACCAUAUUCCCUCCUGAAGCUGGAUCCAAGCCCACGCAGUGAACUGAAAGGUCAGUCGAAUUUAUUUGUAUUGAUAGUCUUCGCUAAACUCUUGUCUGCACGACUAUAUUCUUUUUCAGCUGGCAUACAUUAUCCAUGAAAUUUCAUAGUUCCCCUUACUUUCUGAAUUACACUCUGCUCAUGAUUCGACCAAGAUUCAGAUUAGAAAAUACCCUUCGUUUUAUUCUAAUAUAAAUUAAUCUCUUUCAUAGUAUACGAGUAUAUGGGUUAUUGUGAAUGAUUAUUAAUAGUUUCUUCAAAACCUCUCUGCAACAGUUUUCUUUUCUUUGUUUCCCUUUUUUUCAUUUACUAAUUUUGCUCCUUUUUACAGGAGAGAAUGGAGACAUUGAGGUUGUUGGAAAUCUGGGAUCAUGGAUAUGGUGCGACUCAUGUUUUCUGAUAAGAUUGUACCAAUAAAGAAAGCCUUUUGUUUAUACAAGCAUUGUCAUUUUUGAAAUAAAUGACAUAUGUUUAAAUAAAUGCACCCCGCUCUCGGCUUGAAACAAACACCCUUCCUGGGAUUCUUGCAGUUCGAGUUACGCAUCAUGUGGAGUAUUUUCUUUCUCAGUUGUAAAACUACUGUUUGCAUGUUUCCAAUUCUGUUUCCGUUGUAUUUGGUUUGUUUCAUUUUUGUAAGACUGUUGCUUUCAUCUAUCAUUGUUCUGUUGAAAGACAAAUGUCAUUCCAUUCCAAGCAAAUAAAGUGUUGUGUGUUUUAUUACAAACUUGGAAUCUUUCAAGUUCAGAUUAUGCAUCCAUAGGUUGCCAAAAUGAGUUUAACUAUGUACUGAAAGUGUCAUAGAUUUUUUACAGUAUUAGAUUACCUAAAAGGUAAUUACAGGUAAUUUUUGCUCAUAAAAAGUAGGAUUAGUAACUUAAGAAAUAAGGCAUAUUACCUGCUUGGCUCAACAGAUGAAUGAAGUGCAAAAACACAUGACCACGUCAAAGAGCAUUCUAUUUGUUUAAGAAGCGAUGUCACCCUGAAUCCCCCCUGCAGAAAGGAGGAAAAUAAGAAAAAGAAGAAAGAGAUUUUUACACUCUGUCACCUGAUCCAAACUUACAAAUAAAAUGAGCCACGUUUUUCAGCCCUUAUCCGAAUUUGCCCAUAUUGUAUAAUAUAAUUUCAAAGUUAGGUCACUUUCCCCUAUUUUCCUUCUUGCCCCCUCCUGAUCGUUAAUUGACAAACUCGAUUUAUUGUUGGUGUUUGGAGCUUAAAUCAUAGUUAGAGUACUGAUUUUGUAAGAUUGGGUUGAAAAUUCAAUUAGAAAGAUUAUCGACCUUUGCUAAAAAAGCUUGAAGAAGUAGAAUUUAAUAUUUGUGAGAAAUUUGGAGAGGAUCUUGUUUAUGCUUGUUGGAAAUAGUCCAAGGAAGUUGUUCUACAAAAUUUAAAAUCAUUUGGUGGAGAUUUGGAGUAAGUUUGAACAAGAACUGCAAUUGAACAAUAAUUGCAGAAAAGUUUGUCUCUAUA